Molecule: long non-coding RNA, 383 nt
Organism: Pecten maximus
Lineage: Eukaryota; Metazoa; Mollusca; Bivalvia; Pectinida; Pectinidae
Exons: 2
Source: RefSeq, a predicted model, not a curated record
GGCGGAUCAUGAACUGAUAAUUGAUGUCGAUGUGUUUACCGACCAAGUAUGAGUAUGAACUGGAAGAUAGUGACACUGUAGCUACUGACAUUGGAUUAUUUGAUACCAAGGAAUUAACGUAACCAAUUGUCGUAAAUAAACUGAAUGGUAAUGUGAAAAACAUGUGAAAGACUGCAGGAUUCGAGGGAAAAUACACAAACGGUAACUGCUCCGGAAAGAGGACCUGCGCUACUUCCCUUUACCAAGCAGGUUUUGAUGAACAACUCAAUAUGGACAGGACGGAACAUCGCAGCACGGCUGUAUGCAUACAAGGUGAAGAAAGAAGACAACAAAGAACAUUUCUAAACGGCACUCGUAUUUCAUUAAAUUUUGUUUAAAAUGUU